GUACUCUGGUUUCUCUUCAGAUUGAAUAAGUCUUUCGCCUUUUACUAAAGAUUUCCGUGGAGAGAAGUCUUGAGUUCUUAACUAAUUUUUUGAGGCCUUGCUUUGGCAGGAUU
This is a small nuclear RNA of Heterocephalus glaber (naked mole-rat), 113 nucleotides long. Its record names the gene U5. It matches the Rfam family "U5 spliceosomal RNA". From Rfam's summary of the family: U5 RNA is a component of both types of known spliceosome. The precise function of this molecule is unknown, though it is known that the 5' loop is required for splice site selection and p220 binding, and that both the 3' stem-loop and the Sm site are important for Sm protein binding and cap methylation. Lineage: Eukaryota; Metazoa; Chordata; Mammalia; Rodentia; Bathyergidae. The record is from Ensembl.